This 403-nucleotide ribosomal RNA is filed under the name uncultured prokaryote. Its description in RNAcentral is "bacterial SSU rRNA". It matches the Rfam family "Bacterial small subunit ribosomal RNA", at positions 355 to 774 of the family's 1533-position model. The record is from RNAcentral.
UGGGGAAUCUUGCACAAUGGGCGAAAGCCUGAUGCAGCGAUUCCGCGUGGAGGAUGACGCAUUACGGUGUGUAAACUCCUUUUUUGGUGGAAGACGAAUGACGGUACACCAAGAAUAAGGGACGGCUAACUACGUGCCAGCAGCCGCGGUAAUACGUAGGUCCCAAGCGUUAUCCGGAUUUACUGGGCGUAAAGUGUCCGUAGCCGGAUAUACAAGUCUGUUUUCAAAUAUCCUAGCUCAACCAGGAAAAGGGAAUAGAUACUGUAUAUCUAGAGAAUAUUGGAGGUUAGUGGAAUUUCCGGUGGAGCGGUGAAAUGCGUUGAUAUCGGAAAGAACGCCGAAAGCGAAAGCAGCUAACUAUGAUAUUUCUGGCGGUGAUGGACGAAAGCUAGGGCAGCAAACG